Molecule: transfer RNA, 69 nt
Filed under: Sphaerodactylus townsendi
Lineage: Eukaryota; Metazoa; Chordata; Lepidosauria; Squamata; Sphaerodactylidae
Description: tRNA-Gly
Source: RNAcentral
GUAUAGCUCAGUUAGUUGACCAUUCUCCUGCCACCCGAAAGGUUGCUGGUUCAACUCCAGCCAGCGACA